CGGGUGAGUAAUGUAUGGGGAUCUGCCUGAUGGCGGGGGAUAACUACUGGAAACGGUAGCUAAUACCGCAUAAUGUCUACGGACCAAAGCGGGGGACCUCCGGGCCUCGCGCCAUCGGAUGUGCCCAGAUGGGAUUAGCUAGUAGGUGGGGUAAUGGCUCACCUAGGCGACGAUCCCUAGCUGGUCUGAGAGGAUGACCAGCCACACUGGAACUGAGACACGGUCCAG
This 228-nucleotide ribosomal RNA is filed under the name uncultured bacterium. Its description in RNAcentral is "partial 16S ribosomal RNA". It matches the Rfam family "Bacterial small subunit ribosomal RNA", at positions 103 to 334 of the family's 1533-position model. The record is from RNAcentral.